GAACUAGACCUCAAUUUGAGCAAGAUUACCCGCUGAACUUAAGCAUAUCUUGGAACACAUACGAAAGCG
Molecule: ribosomal RNA, 69 nt
Filed under: Steinernema sp. 3464
Lineage: Eukaryota; Metazoa; Nematoda; Chromadorea; Rhabditida; Steinernematidae
Description: partial 28S ribosomal RNA
Source: RNAcentral